RNAcentral lists this ribosomal RNA (482 nucleotides) under uncultured bacterium. RNAcentral describes it as "partial 16S ribosomal RNA". It matches the Rfam family "Bacterial small subunit ribosomal RNA", at positions 28 to 507 of the family's 1533-position model. The record is from RNAcentral.
GACGAACGCUGGCGGCGUGCUUAACACAUGCAAGUCGAACGAUGAAGAAGAGAAACGCGAACUUCGGUUCAAAUUUCACUUCGGAUUAGUGGCAGACGGGUGAGUAACGCGUGAGCAACCUACCUCUUACAAAGGGAUAGCCUCGGGAAACCGUGAUUAAUACCAUAUGACACAUUCAUAAGGCAUCUCAAGAAUGUUAAAGCUACGGCGGUAAGAGAUGGGCUCGCGUCCCAUUAGCUAGUUGGUGAGGUAACGGCCCACCAAGGCGACGAUGGGUAACCGGCCUGAGAGGGUGAACGGUCACAUUGGAACUGAGACACGGUCCAAACUCCUACGGGAGGCAGCAGUGGGGAAUAUUGCACAAUGGAGGGAACUCUGAUGCAGCGACGCCGCGUGAGCGAUGAAGGAAUUCGUUUCGUAAAGCUCUGUUCUAUGGGAAGAAAAGGACUGUACCAUAGGAGAAAGCCCCGGCUAAAUACGUG